Molecule: long non-coding RNA, 338 nt
Organism: Camponotus floridanus (Florida carpenter ant)
Lineage: Eukaryota; Metazoa; Arthropoda; Insecta; Hymenoptera; Formicidae
Exons: 3
Source: RefSeq, a predicted model, not a curated record
AUGCGAAUCCUUAUAGACAUUUUCGCGAUCAAAUGCACUUCGAUGCUCGCAGAGUGAUGAUUUGCAUCAAAUCUCAAUAUUUUAAUCUCAAUAGAAUUCUUUUACUUACUGUUGGCUUAUGGCCCUAUCAGCAAUCAAAAUUCGUUCGCCUUCAGAUCAUCUUAUUUUUUAGCACUUUAAUAAGCUUUGUUAUAUUCCAGCUCACAGCGUUCAUAACUACCGAGUGUACAUCUGAAUUUAUCAUUAAGAUUCUUUCUACCGCAAUGUUUAUUAGUGUUUAUAUAAUUCAAUACUAUGGUUUCUGGAUGAAUGUCCAUAAUGUAAAAUGUUUAUUGGAG